UCCUGGCUCAGGAUGAACGCUGGCGGCGUGCCUAAUACAUGCAAGUCGAGCGAACGGACGAGAAGCUUGCUUCUCUGAUGUUAGCGGCGGACGGGUGAGUAACACGUGGAUAACCUACCUAUAAGACUGGGAUAACUUCGGGAAACCGGAGCUAAUACCGGAUAAUAUUUUGAACCGCAUGGUUCAAAAGUGAAAGACGGUCUUGCUGUCACUUAUAGAUGGAUCCGCGCUGCAUUAGCUAGUUGGUAAGGUAACGGCUUACCAAGGCAACGAUGCAUAGCCGACCUGAGAGGGUGAUCGGCCACACUGGAACUGAGACACGGUCCAGACUCCUACGGGAGGCAGCAGUAGGGAAUCUUCCGCAAUGGGCGAAAGCCUGACGGAGCAACGCCGCGUGAGUGAUGAAGGUCUUCGGAUCGUAAAACUCUGUUAUUAGGGAAGAACAUAUGUGUAAGUAACUGUGCACAUCUUGACGGUACCUAAUCAGAAAGCCACGGCUAACUACGUGCCAGCAGCCGCGGUAAUACGUAGGUGGCAAGCGUUAUCCGGAAUUAUUGGGCGUAAAGCGCGCGUAGGCGGUUUUUUAAGUCUGAUGUGAAAGCCCACGGCUCAACCGUGGAGGGUCAUUGGAAACUGGAAAACUUGAGUGCAGAAGAGGAAAGUGGAAUUCCAUGUGUAGCGGUGAAAUGCGCAGAGAUAUGGAGGAACACCAGUGGCGAAGGCGACUUUCUGGUCUGUAACUGACGCUGAUGUGCGAAAGCGUGGGGAUCAAACAGGAUUAGAUACCCUGGUAGUCCACGCCGUAAACGAUGAGUGCUAAGUGUUAGGGGGUUUCCGCCCCUUAGUGCUGCAGCUAACGCAUUAAGCACUCCGCCUGGGGAGUACGACCGCAAGGUUGAAACUCAAAGGAAUUGACGGGGACCCGCACAAGCGGUGGAGCAUGUGGUUUAAUUCGAAGCAACGCGAAGAACCUUACCAAAUCUUGACAUCCUUUGACAACUCUAGAGAUAGAGCUUUCCCCUUCGGGGGACAAAGUGACAGGUGGUGCAUGGUUGUCGUCAGCUCGUGUCGUGAGAUGUUGGGUUAAGUCCCGCAACGAGCGCAACCCUUAAGCUUAGUUGCCAUCAUUAAGUUGGGCACUCUAAGUUGACUGCCGGUGACAAACCGGAGGAAGGUGGGGAUGACGUCAAAUCAUCAUGCCCCUUAUGAUUUGGGCUACACACGUGCUACAAUGGACAAUACAAAGGGCAGCGAAACCGCGAGGUCAAGCAAAUCCCAUAAAGUUGUUCUCAGUUCGGAUUGUAGUCUGCAACUCGACUACAUGAAGCUGGAAUCGCUAGUAAUCGUAGAUCAGCAUGCUACGGUGAAUACGUUCCCGGGUCUUGUACACACCGCCCGUCACACCACGAGAGUUUGUAACACCCGAAGCCGGUGGAGUAACCUUUUAGGAGCUAGCCGUCGAAGGUGGGACAAAUGAUUGGGGUGAAGUCGUAACAAGGUAGCCGUAUCGGAAGGUGCGGCUGGAUCACCUCCUUU
RNAcentral lists this ribosomal RNA (1536 nucleotides) under Staphylococcus aureus. RNAcentral describes it as "partial 16S ribosomal RNA". It matches the Rfam family "Bacterial small subunit ribosomal RNA". Lineage: Bacteria; Bacillati; Bacillota; Bacilli; Caryophanales; Staphylococcaceae. The record is from RNAcentral.